AACGAACGCUGGCGGCAUGCCUAACACAUGCAAGUCGAACGAGACCUUCGGGUCUAGUGGCGCACGGGUGCGUAACGCGUGGGAACCUGCCCUUAGGUUCGGAAUAACUCCCCGAAAGGGGUGCUAAUACCGGAUAAUGUCUUCGGACCAAAGAUUUAUCGCCUUUGGAUGGGCCCGCGUUGGAUUAGCUAGUUGAUAGGGUAAAAGCCUACCAAGGCGACGAUCCAUGGCUGGUCUGAGAGGAUGAUCAGCCACACUGGGACUGAGACACGGCCCAGACUCCUACGGGAGGCAGCAGUGGGGAAUAUUGGACAAUGGGCGAAAGCCUGAUCCAGCAAUGCCGCGUGAGUGAUGAAGGCCUUAGGGUUGUAAAGCUCUUUUACCCGGGAUGAUAAUGACAGUACCGGGAGAAUAAGCUCCGGCUAACUCCGUG
RNAcentral lists this ribosomal RNA (433 nucleotides) under uncultured bacterium. Its description in RNAcentral is "partial 16S ribosomal RNA". It matches the Rfam family "Bacterial small subunit ribosomal RNA", at positions 29 to 507 of the family's 1533-position model. The record is from RNAcentral.